CCUACGGGAGGCAGCAGUGAGGAAUAUUGGACAAUGGAGGCAACUCUGAUCCAGCCAUGCCGCGUGAAGGAUGACUGCCCUAUGGGUUGUAAACUUCUUUUAUAUGGGAAGAACUGCAGAUACGUGUAUUUGUUUGACGGUACCAUACGAAUAAGGACCGGCUAACUCCGUGCCAGCAGCCGCGGUAAUACGGAGGGUCCAAGCGUCAUCCGGAAUCAUUGGGUUUAAAGGGUUCGUAGGCGGGCUAAUCAGUCAGAGGUGAAAUCCAGCAGCUUAACUGUUGAACUGCCUUUGAUACUGUUAGUCUUGAGUCAUAUGGAAGUAGAUAGAAUAUGUAGUGUAGCGGUGAAAUGCAUAGAUAUUACAUAGAAUACCGAUUGCGAAGGCAGUCUACUACGUAUUGACUGACGCUGAUGAACGAAAGCGUGGGGAGCGAACGGGAUUAGAUACCCCGGUAGUCCACGCCGUAAACGAUGGACACUAGUUGUUGGGUUUCGGCUCAGUGACUAAGCGAAAGUGAUAAGUGUCCCACCUGGGGAGUACGGUCGCAAGAUUGAAACUCAAAGGAAUUGACGGA
This 577-nucleotide ribosomal RNA is filed under the name uncultured bacterium. Its description in RNAcentral is "bacterial SSU rRNA". It matches the Rfam family "Bacterial small subunit ribosomal RNA", at positions 338 to 917 of the family's 1533-position model. The record is from RNAcentral.